Neoarius graeffei (lesser salmon catfish) is the source of this 215-nucleotide long non-coding RNA. RefSeq lists it as uncharacterized. Lineage: Eukaryota; Metazoa; Chordata; Actinopteri; Siluriformes; Ariidae. The transcript has 3 exons. The record is from RefSeq and is a predicted model, not a curated record.
GAUGCUGAACAAGGUGCAGGUGUUGGUGAUGUGACUUAUGCUGAGAUUGAACUAAAACCAACAAAAAAAAUCGAAGAAAGUAAAAGAGAAAGCCAGUCUGGGUGAUGAUACUGUAUACUCAGAGCUUCAACAGAACAUGAAGUGAGCCGUGAGUCUGUGCACGCUGAUGAAGUGACAGUCAUCAAACAGAUCAUUGGAAAACUGUUAAUUGUGUC